This 498-nucleotide ribosomal RNA is filed under the name uncultured bacterium. RNAcentral's name for it is "partial 16S ribosomal RNA". It matches the Rfam family "Bacterial small subunit ribosomal RNA", at positions 28 to 507 of the family's 1533-position model. The record is from RNAcentral.
GACGAACGCUGGCGGCGUGCCUAAUACAUGCAAGUCGAGCGGACGGAUGGGAGCUUGCUCCCAGACCGUCAGCGGCGGACGGGUGAGUAACACGUGGGCAACCUGCCUGUAAGACUGGGAUAACUCCGGGAAACCGGGGCUAAUACCGGAUAACUCUUUCCCUCACAUGAGGGAAAGCUGAAAGAUGGCAUCUCGCUAUCACUUACAGAUGGGCCCGCGGCGCAUUAGCUAGUUGGUGAGGUAACGGCUCACCAAGGCGACGAUGCGUAGCCGACCUGAGAGGGUGAUCGGCCACACUGGGACUGAGACACGGCCCAGACUCCUACGGGAGGCAGCAGUAGGGAAUCUUCCGCAAUGGACGAAAGUCUGACGGAGCAACGCCGCGUGAGUGAUGAAGGUUUUCGGAUCGUAAAACUUUGUUGUCAGGGAAGAACAAGUACCGGAGUAACUGCCGGUACCUUGACGGUACCUGACCAGAAAGCCACGGCUAACUACGUG